GACGAACGCUGGCGGCGUGCUUAACACAUGCAAGUCGAACGGAAAGGCCCGGCUUUUGUGGGGUGCUCGAGUGGCGAACGGGUGAGUAACACGUGAGUAACCUGCCCUUGACUUUGGGAUAACUUCAGGAAACUGGGGCUCAUACCGGAUAGGAUCUCCUGCUGCAUGGUGGGGGUUGGAAAGUUUCGGCGGUUGGGGAUGGACUCGCGGCUUAUCAGCUUGUUGGUGGGGUAGUGGCUUUCCAGGGCUUUGAAGGGUAGGCGGCCUGGGAGGGUGACCGGCCACAUUGGGACUGAGAUACGGCCCAGACUCCUACCGGAGGCAGCAGUGGGGAAUAUUGCACAAUGGGCGGGAGCGUGAUGCAGCAACGCCGCGUGCGGGAUGACGGCCUUCGAGUUGUAAACCGCUUUCGAAGGUGACGAGGCGUGAGUGACGGUAAUGGGUAAAGAAGCACCGGCUAACUACGUG
RNAcentral lists this ribosomal RNA (468 nucleotides) under uncultured bacterium. RNAcentral's name for it is "partial 16S ribosomal RNA". It matches the Rfam family "Bacterial small subunit ribosomal RNA", at positions 28 to 507 of the family's 1533-position model. The record is from RNAcentral.